This 440-nucleotide ribosomal RNA is filed under the name uncultured bacterium. RNAcentral's name for it is "partial 16S ribosomal RNA". It matches the Rfam family "Bacterial small subunit ribosomal RNA", at positions 338 to 795 of the family's 1533-position model. The record is from RNAcentral.
CCUACGGGAGGCAGCAGUGGGGAAUAUUGCACAAUGGGGGGAACCCUGAUGCAGCGACGCCGCGUGCGUGAAGAAGUAUUUCGGUAUGUAAAGCUCUAUCAGCAGGGAAGAAAAUGACGGUACCCGACUCAGUAGCCCCGGCUAACUACGUGCCAGCAGCCGCGGUAAUACGGAGGGGGCAAGCGUUAUCCGGAUUUACUGGGUGUAAAGGGAGCGCAGCCGGCUGUGCAAGUCUGGAGUGAAAGGCGGGGGCGCAACCCCCGGACUGCCCUGGAAACUGUACAGCUGGAGUGCAGGAGCGGUAAGCGGAAUGCCUGGUGUAGCGGUGAAAUGCGUAGAUAUUAGAAGGAACACCAGUGGCGAAGGCAGCUUACUGGACUGCAACUGACGUUGAGGCUCGAAAGCGUGGGGAGCAAACAGGAUUAGAUACCCUUGUAGUC